This 440-nucleotide ribosomal RNA is filed under the name uncultured bacterium. RNAcentral's name for it is "partial 16S ribosomal RNA". It matches the Rfam family "Bacterial small subunit ribosomal RNA", at positions 338 to 795 of the family's 1533-position model. The record is from RNAcentral.
CCUACGGGAGGCAGCAGUGAGGAAUAUUGCUCAAUGGACGAAAGCCUGAUCCAGCGAAGUCGCGUGAGUGAUGAAGGAUUUCGGGAUGUAAAGCUCUGUUAUCAGGGAAGAAAAUUACGGUACCUUACCGAUUAGUCCGGGCUAACUACGUGCAAGCCGGCGCGGUACGUCGUAGGGGGCGAGGUUUAUCCGGAUUUAAUGGGUGUAAAGGGAGCGUAGACGGGAGGGGAAGUCUGGAGUGAAAGGCGGGGGCUCAACCCAAGGAUUGCUGUGGAAACUGCAAGGCUGGAGUGCAGGAGAGGUAAGUGGAAUGCGUAGUGUAGCGGUGAAAUGCGUAGAGAUCAAGAGGAAUUCUCAUUGCGAAGGCGACCUGCUAGACCAUAACUGACGCUGAUGCGCGAAAGCGUGGGGAGCAAACAGGAUUAGAUACCCGAGUAGUC